RNAcentral lists this non-coding RNA (751 nucleotides) under Pongo abelii (Sumatran orangutan). The record is from RNAcentral. Lineage: Eukaryota; Metazoa; Chordata; Mammalia; Primates; Hominidae.
GAGGAAUGGGAUAUUCCGACUCCUUAAGGGCCUGGAGCACAUAAGGUGUGACCUUUUCAUUCCCGUUGUCAUGGAGGGCCACAUCUGCCAGAGCCUGGAGUCUGCGAAGGCCGGGACCCGGUUCCCCGGCCCGCCGUGGGGAGUGUGCAAACCCGAGAGAACUGGGUUGCAAAUUCGUGAAGAAUCAGCAGCAUGUUUGGCAGCUGAGUAUUGGAGCCAGGAGCCUGCCAUGAGGUUUUGAGAACAGGGUGCUGUUUUAGAGCUGGCAGCAGCAUCUCAGCCCAAGAGAAGGUUAUAUUCCCAGAGGAUGUCAGUCCCAAGGACCAGUAGCUGCCAUCAGUUUGGAUUCUGAAAACUAACCGGCAUCAACAUUGGGUGUAGAAACAUGCUUGCCUUGUGUAUCAGAGGACAUGCUCAGCAGAUCCAAGAGAUAUAUUUGGCAACUUUUUCUAGAAAAGGCACAUUAGGUAUCAUUCAUUACAUUCUUGAGUUUUUUUGGGGUUUUUUUUUUUUUUGAGACAGUCUUGCUGUGUUGCCCAGGCUGGAGUGUGGUGGCACAAUCACAGCUCAUUGCAGCCUCAAUCACCCAGGCCUAAGCAAUCCUCCCACCUUGUAGCUGGGACUACAGCUCACAGCACACCUGGCUAAAAUUUUUUUUUGUUGAGACGGAUUCUCUAUGUUGCUCAGGCUGGUCUCAAGCUCCUGGGCUUAGAUGGUCCUCCUGCCUCAGCUUCCAAAGGCACAGGCCAAG